This 452-nucleotide ribosomal RNA is filed under the name Astrosyne radiata. RNAcentral's name for it is "partial Bacterial large subunit ribosomal RNA". It matches the Rfam family "Bacterial large subunit ribosomal RNA", at positions 2460 to 2911 of the family's 2925-position model. The record is from RNAcentral. Lineage: Eukaryota; Bacillariophyta; Fragilariophyceae; Cyclophorales; Cyclophoraceae.
AAGGUACGCCGGGGAUAACAGGCUUAUCGGAGCCAAGAGUUCACAUCGACGCUCCGGUUUGGCACCUCGAUGUCGGUUCAUCGCAUCCUGGGGGUGUAGAAGCUCCCAAGGGUUAGGCUGUUCGCCUAUUAAAGCGGUACGUGAACUGGGUUCAGAACGUCGCGAGACAGUUCGGUCUCUAUCUGUGGUGGGCGUAGGACAUUUGAAGGGGCUUGGCCGUAGUACGAGAGGACCCGGCUGAACAGACCUCUUGUGAUCCUGUUGUCACGCCAGUGGCACCGCAGGGUAGCGAAGUCUGGUCAGGAUAAGCGCUGAAUGCAUAUAAGCGCGAAACCUUCCCUAAGAUGAGAUGUCCCAAGCGAAAGCUAAGAAGGGCCCAGGAAGACGACCUGGUUGAUAGGGCAGAUGUGGAAGCGUGGUAACACGUUGAGCUGACUGCUACUAAUAGCCCG